This 460-nucleotide ribosomal RNA is filed under the name uncultured bacterium. RNAcentral describes it as "partial 16S ribosomal RNA". It matches the Rfam family "Bacterial small subunit ribosomal RNA", at positions 338 to 795 of the family's 1533-position model. The record is from RNAcentral.
CCUACGGGUGGCAGCAGUGAGGAAUAUUGGUCAAUGGGCUUACGCCUGAACCAGCCAAGUCGCGUGAGGGAAGACUGCCCUAUGGGUUGUAAACCUCUUUUGUCAGGGAGCAACGCCGGCUACGUGUAGCCGGACUGAGAGUACCUGAAGAAAAAGCAUCGGCUAACUCCGUGCCAGCAGCCGCGGUAAUAGGGGGGAUGCGAGGGUUAUCCGGUUUUAUUGGGUUAAAAGGGUGCGCAGGCGGUGUGUUAAGUCAGCGUGAAAACCCGGGGGUUAAACCCAGACCCGCCGUUGAAACUGGCAGUCUCGAGAGGGGGAGAAGUAUGCGGAAUGCGCGGUGUAGCGGUGAAAUGCAUAGAGAUCGCGCAGAACUCCGAUUGCGAAGGCAGCAUGCCGGCUCCACACUGACGCUGAGGCACGAAAGCGUGGGGAUCGAACAGGAUUAGAUACCCGGGUAGUC